RNAcentral lists this long non-coding RNA (761 nucleotides) under Apteryx owenii (little spotted kiwi). Its description in RNAcentral is "lncRNA (ENSAOWG00000006571.1)". The record is from RNAcentral. Lineage: Eukaryota; Metazoa; Chordata; Aves; Apterygiformes; Apterygidae.
GGGCCGCGGCGCGGGAAGCCGUUUAGCGAGGCCAGCGCCCCGCGGAGCGGCGGCGGCGGCGCGGGGAGCCUUUUACCUCCCUUUCAGAGGGGCGCCGUCCUCUGCGGCCUAUGCGCUGCCCCGCGUCGUGCUUCGCGGCCGGGCGGGGAGGCCGCUCCGAGCUUGGCGGCUGGGCGGGGGGGGCAGGGCCCUCACGGCUGCCCUUGCCAAAUGGCUCCUCGCCGGAGGAGGAAGCUGCCGCCGCCGCGGGAAGGGGCGCGGCUGCCUCGAGAGACCCAACCAGGAAAAGAAUCUGAAUGGUCAGACUCUAUGUCAUGUCUUAUGAAGAAACUGGAGGAAUUGAAUUUAGAUAUUGAAGAAGCUCUGAGUGCUGGCUCUUCUCCCUCCAGUACUCCUUCUGCCAAAAGGCACAAGCUACUGUGCCCUGUUCAAGUGGAGACUGGCUUUUAUGGAGAUCAUCAAGGAAAGAGAUCUUGGAAAAAUAGAAGAGCAGGCUACCAGGAUCUAGAUUGUUCAUCUAGCCCAGUGUCAGCUGGAGCACGACCAAAAACUGAUGCUUAAGACAACCUGUUCCUCUACAGUCAGAUGCCAAUCCUGUAGAAGACACUGUCUGAAUGCAAAGAUCCAUCCGUGAAGAUGAUGAUUCACUAAUGUACUAUCACAGAUUUUCUCAGAAGUGGCAGAAUCAUGGCAUUAUUUAGUUUGUUUUAAAGAAAACUGUGUGUGAAAUAAAAGGUAUAGAAAUUGCGUAAAGUUGCCCA